GAUGAACGCUGGCGGUAUGCUUAACACAUGCAAGUCGAACGGAACCCUUCGGGGUUUAGUGGCGGACGGGUGAGUAACGCGUGAGAAUCUGGCCUCAGGUCGGGGACAACCACUGGAAACGGUGGCUAAUACCGGAUGAGCCGAAGGGUAAAAGAUGUAUUGCCUGAGGAAGAGCUCGCGUCUGAUUAGCUAGUUGGUGGGGUAAGAGCCUACCAAGGCACCGAUCAGUAGCUGGUCUGAGAGGAUGACCAGUCACACUGGGACUGAGACACGGCCCAGACUCCUACGGGAGGCAGCAGUGGGGAAUUUUCCGCAAUGGGCGAAAGCCUGACGGAGCAAUACCGCGUGAGGGAGGAAGGCUCUUGGGUCGUAAACCUCUUUUCUCAGGGAAGAACACAAUGACGGUACCUGAGGAAUCAGCAUCGGCUAACUCCGUGCCAGCCGCCGCCGUAAAAC
RNAcentral lists this ribosomal RNA (456 nucleotides) under uncultured bacterium. RNAcentral's name for it is "bacterial SSU rRNA". It matches the Rfam family "Bacterial small subunit ribosomal RNA", at positions 28 to 526 of the family's 1533-position model. The record is from RNAcentral.